Molecule: long non-coding RNA, 352 nt
Organism: Sapajus apella (tufted capuchin)
Lineage: Eukaryota; Metazoa; Chordata; Mammalia; Primates; Cebidae
Exons: 2
Source: RefSeq, a predicted model, not a curated record
UCCAGCGAGAAGAGAAGGGAGGCUUUAGAAUCCUGGUGCUGCCCAGGCUGUGGGCUGGCUUGAUUUUGGCCCUGGAUUCCUCUGCUCAGCAGGAGACGGAGGUACCUGGAGGGAAGGUGGGCUCCAAAGCCCCAGAUCAAAGCAAAAAGAAAACUGCUGACAGCCAGCAAGUGUUCCCUGCUCUUAUUUGGUACAUCAUCACUGUCAACUUGGGACUGGUUUAGAAAGAUUCUUUUUGAAGACCUGAAGCUUUGGGCCACAGGAUCACUACAGCUGAGGUCCUCUGCAAAGGUCGCCAUGGCCAUGAUAGAAGCCCCAGUAGAAAAAGGUGGAAGGUGAAAGAAAGAAAGAA